RNAcentral lists this ribosomal RNA (255 nucleotides) under Pantoea sp. PNT01. Its description in RNAcentral is "partial 23S ribosomal RNA". It matches the Rfam family "Bacterial large subunit ribosomal RNA", at positions 1124 to 1378 of the family's 2925-position model. Lineage: Bacteria; Pseudomonadati; Pseudomonadota; Gammaproteobacteria; Enterobacterales; Erwiniaceae. The record is from RNAcentral.
UAAAGAAAGCGUAAUAGCUCACUGGUCGAGUCGGCCUGCGCGGAAGAUGUAACGGGGCUAAACCAUGCACCGAAGCUGCGGCAGCGACACUAUGUGUUGUUGGGUAGGGGAGCGUUCUGUAAGCCGUCGAAGGUGUGCUGUGAGGCAUGCUGGAGGUAUCAGAAGUGCGAAUGCUGACAUAAGUAACGAUAAAGCGGGUGAAAAGCCCGCUCGCCGGAAGACCAAGGGUUCCUGUUCAACGUUAAUCGGAGCAGG